GAUACCCACUAGGGGAGCCUGAAUAGGCUGAGACGGGAUAACUGAUUCCCGGACCCUUGAACCUGAUCUGGAUCAUACCAGCGUAGGAAAGUGGAGUCGGACCUUU
RNAcentral lists this non-coding RNA (106 nucleotides) under Paenibacillus riograndensis. RNAcentral describes it as "TPP sequence". It matches the Rfam family "TPP riboswitch aptamer (THI element)". From Rfam's summary of the family: Vitamin B(1) in its active form thiamin pyrophosphate (TPP) is an essential coenzyme that is synthesised by coupling of pyrimidine and thiazole moieties in bacteria. The previously detected thiamin-regulatory element, thi box was extended, resulting in a new, highly conserved RNA secondary structure, the THI element, which is widely distributed in eubacteria and also occurs in some archaea. The record is from RNAcentral. Lineage: Bacteria; Bacillati; Bacillota; Bacilli; Caryophanales; Paenibacillaceae.